Molecule: ribosomal RNA, 497 nt
Filed under: uncultured bacterium
Lineage: Bacteria
Description: partial 16S ribosomal RNA
Rfam family: Bacterial small subunit ribosomal RNA
Source: RNAcentral
GAUGAACGCUGGCGGCGUGCCUAAUACAUGCAAGUCGAGCGAACGGACGAGAAGCUUGCUUCUCUGAUGUUAGCGGCGGACGGGUGAGUAACACGUGGAUAACCUACCUAUAAGACUGGGAUAACUUCGGGAAACCGGAGCUAAUACCGGAUGAUAUUUUGAACCGCAUGGUUCAAAAGUGAAAGACGGUCUUGCUGUCACUUAUAGAUGGAUCCGCGCUGCAUUAGCUAGUUGGUAAGGUAACGGCUUACCAAGGCAACGAUGCAUAGCCGACCUGAGAGGGUGAUCGGCCACACUGGAACUGAGACACGGUCCAGACUCCUACGGGAGGCAGCAGUAGGGAAUCUUCCGCAAUGGGCGAAAGCCUGACGGAGCAACGCCGCGUGAGUGAUGAAGGUCUUCGGAUCGUAAAACUCUGUUAUUAGGGAAGAACAUAUGUGUAAGAAACUGUGCACAUCUUGACGGUACCUAAUCAGAAAGCCACGGCUAACUACGUG